This 1053-nucleotide long non-coding RNA is filed under the name Anser brachyrhynchus (Pink-footed goose). RNAcentral's name for it is "lncRNA (ENSABRG00000021398.1)". Lineage: Eukaryota; Metazoa; Chordata; Aves; Anseriformes; Anatidae. The record is from RNAcentral.
AUCGUGGCUCUGAGGCUUCCCCACUUCCUACCAUCACUCCUGCUUGCGGGGCAGCAUUUGAGGAUAGUCAAUGUGAUCACCAAUACUCGUAUAUUCCUGUAGUCCAUUUUCCACCACAGCAUCCUCUCCAGGCACGUGAUAACAGCUGUAGUCGCUGAGCUCACAGAAAGCUGGCCCAAGCAAUGCCGCAGGCAGAUGCUGUAGCCUACUUCCCUGCAGUGGUCCCGUCCCGGUGCGGAGCUCCUUUGCUUGCUGAGAUUUUUGUCAACACCUUAGCAUUAUUAAAAUGUUGUUUUUAAAGUCAAUUUCCUUUUCUUUUCUUUGUAGUUUAUAGAGUGUUGCUGAAGAACUUCUCCCAGGCUAAAAUGAGGAUCAGUUCCAGGUUUCCAAUCAUAUCAACAGUAGGAUCAUGAUUUAUUUCUAAGGUGCCUAUGUAAUUACCCAUACCCCACACACACCUCCCGUUCACACUGAGUUUCCCUGUAGCUAAUGAGUCUUCCCAGAGAGGAGGAGGACUGGCUGGUUCACUGAGCCCCGUGCAAAUGAAUGAGCUUCUAAAACAAAUCCAGUCUCUUUGAAGACUGUGUGUCCCAAAAGCCGUCAGCCCUCAUUGUAAAUAUAAAUGGCUCAGUUGUCUUAAACUGAUUUUUUUUUGCCAAGUUUUGCCAACAGCAUCAUGUUGGUGUUCUUUUUUUUUCCACUAUUGUUGUUUUGGUCAAAGCGUUGAUGGAUUUAUUUUACCUUUAUAGCUUCUGUCAUCUAUACCAGCAUGUUUCCUAUACAAGGCAGUGGAGCCAAACUUACAGCCCCAAAAGAUAAUACAAAAUAUUUGGAUAUCCGGAUCCAACCCACGCUGGAAAUGUGUGGAGUGUUCUGGGGCUAGAUUUAACUGCCAGCAAGUCUUGUACAAUUCAGCUGACUUCAGCAGAGCUGCCUGGGAAAGCAAACUUGGGCUGUUUGUAUUUGUUGUGUGGUGCUGUGGAGUCCCCCAGAUGAAAGGUGCUACAGAGGUAUGAAAAAAUGUGCUUUCUUUUAAAGUGCUAGGGUGUGUGG